AGUAACGCGUGGGUAACCUGCCUCAUACAGGGGGAUAACAGUUAGAAAUGACUGCUAAUACCGCAUAAGCGCACAGUGCUGCAUGGCACAGUGUGAAAAACUCCGGUGGUAUGAGAUGGACCCGCGUCUGAUUAGCUAGUUGGUGGGGUAACGGCCUACCAAGGCGACGAUCAGUAGCCGACCUGAGAGGGUGACCGGCCACAUUGGGACUGAGACACGGCCCAA
RNAcentral lists this ribosomal RNA (225 nucleotides) under uncultured bacterium. RNAcentral describes it as "partial 16S ribosomal RNA". It matches the Rfam family "Bacterial small subunit ribosomal RNA", at positions 109 to 334 of the family's 1533-position model. The record is from RNAcentral.